CCUCUCUCCAUCUGUCGACCACCGCCAUCAUCAUACCAGUACCACACCACCUCUACCCUCUCACCUGUCCCUCGUCUUCCGUACACAGGCCCACCCCCUCCCUCAUUCUGCGCGCACACGUUUUAGCGAAGCGGAUCGCACAUACGUGGUACGUGUGUGCCCAACGGAACACAUAUACAUACAUCUAUCCAUCUAUAUAUAUAUAGGUAGAUAUCUACACAUAGGUAUAUCUAUCGAUCUACGUGUGCGUGUUUGUGUGUGUGUGUGUGUGUCCGUAUGUUCUGUUAGUCUUUGAAGACGCUGAGUCAACAUCCCUUCCCUUUUUUCUUUUGCUUAUUUCCCCACCCCCACCAGCCCGGAUGUUGUCGGGCAACACCAUCGCGGCCUCUGCGCAGCCGCCGAUCGCCGCCAAGAAGCCGCACCGCGUCACGUUCGGCUACGUGGAGGGUGAGGACCGCGGCCCAAACCCGAUGAAUCCACCGCGCUACCGCGAGGACCCGUAUUUUUGGAUGCGCGAUGACAAUCGCAAGGAUCCGGCCGUGAUUGAGCACCUCAACAAGGAGAAGGCCUACUUCCAGGCGCGCAGCGCCGACAUUGCGCAGCUGCGCGACGACAUCUACACGGAGCACAUAUCGCACAUCAAGGAGGACGACAUGUCCGCGCCGUACGUGUACGGCAAGUACCGGUACUACACCCGCGAGGUGAAGGGUAAGUCGUACAAGAUUUACUGCCGCGUGUCCAAGGACAAGGAGCCGGGCGACGUCGCGGCAGAGGAAGUCAUCAUCGAUGUCAACCAAGUCGCCGAGGGCAAACCGUUCUGUGACGUGAUGGAGGUGAAGCCAGCACCGCCGGAGCACGACCUCGUGGCCUUCUCUGUGGACAUGAGCGGUAACGAGGUGUACACGAUCGAAUUUAAAAGGAUUUCGGACCCGUGCCAAACUAUCGCCGACAAGGUGAGCGGCACCAAUGGCGAGAUCGUGUGGGGCCCGGACCAGACCUCCUUAUUCUACGUGACCAAAGACGAGACGCUGCGCGAUAACAAGGUGUGGCGCCACGUGAUGGGCAAGCCGCAGUCCGAGGACGUCUGCCUCUACGAGGAGAACAACCCGCUGUUCAGCGCCUUCAUGUACAAGGCCGCGGACACAAACACACUGUGCAUCGGCUCGCAGUCGCCGGAGACGGCAGAGGUGCACCUGCUUGAUCUGCGCAGGGGCAACGCCCACAAUACGCUUGAAAUUGUGCGGCCGCGCGAGAAGGGCGUGCGCUACGACGUGCAGAUGCACGGCACCAGCCAUCUUGUGAUCCUCACCAACGAAGGCGGGGCGGUGAACCACAAGCUUCUCAUAGCGCCGCGCGGGCAGCCGAGCGACUGGUCACAUGUGCUGGUGGAUCACAGCGAGGACGUGUUUAUGGAGAGCAUCGCGGUGCGCUCGAACUACCUCGUCGUGACAGGCCGCCGCGCCGGGCUGACGCGCAUCUGGACGAUGAUGGUGGACCCGCAGGAUGGCGUCUUCAAGGCUAGCACCGGGCUGCGCGAGGUGGUGAUGGAGGAGCCGAUCUUCACGGUGCACCUCGUGGCGUUCCAGAUGUUGGAGUACGAAGAGCCAACGUUCCGCAUGGAGUACUCGUCCCUUGCCACGCCGAACACCUGGCUCGACGUCAAUCCGCAGGACCACUCUCGCACCGCUGUGAAAGUGCGCGAGGUCGGCGGUGGCUUCGACGCCGCCAACUACAAGGUGGAGCGCCGCUUCGCUACCGCACCAGACCAGACCAAGAUCCCGCUCUCAGUUGUCUACCACAAAGACCUCGACAUGAGCCAGCCGCAGCCGUGCAUGCUGUACGGGUACGGCAGCUACGGCCUUAGCAUGGACCCUCAGUUCAGCAUUCAGCACCUGCCGUACUGUGACCGCGGCAUGAUCUUCGCCAUAGCCCACAUCCGCGGCGGCAGUGAGAUGGGCCGUGCAUGGUACGAGAUCGGCGCCAAGUACCUCACGAAGCGCAACACCUUUUCCGACUUCAUCGCGGCAGCCGAGUUCCUGGUGAACGCGAAAUUGACGACGCCGUCGCAGCUGGCCUGCGAGGGGCGUAGCGCCGGCGGCCUGCUGGUGGGCGCCGUGCUGAACAUGCGUCCCGAUCUCUUCAAGGUGGCGCUCGCCGGCGUGCCGUUCGUGGAUGUCAUGACGACCAUGUGCGACCCCAGCAUUCCCUUGACGACGGGCGAGUGGGAGGAGUGGGGCAACCCGAACGAGUACAAGUACUACGACUACAUGCUGAGCUACAGCCCCGUGGACAACGUCCGCGCGCAGGAGUACCCGAAUAUCAUGGUCCAGUGCGGCCUGCACGACCCCCGCGUCGCUUAUUGGGAGCCGGCCAAGUGGGUGAGCAAGCUGCGUGAGUGCAAAACGGACAACAACGAAAUUCUGCUGAACAUGGACAUGGAGAGCGGGCACUUCUCCGCCAAGGAUCGCUACAAGUUCUGGAAGGAGUCGGCUAUCCAGCAAGCGUUCGUGUGCAAGCACCUGAAGAGCACCGUGCGCCUGCUGGUUCGCAGGUAAGAGUCGUGAUCAUUAACUCUAGGGCACGAUGGCACAUGUUCACGUCUUCACAAGGGACGAGGGAGCUUGUCUGUCUAUCUGUGGGUACGUCCGCGUGCAUGCUGGGAUGCUUGUAUGGUUGAUUUCUUCUUGGAUUAUCUUACGUCUGCGCUUCUUGGUGCAGCAAGCCGUUAUCGCCCUCUUCCUCCCUCCACUGCGUGUAGCGCCCCCCCCCCACUACCACCUUCCCGCCUCCGGUAGCGGAGAACACCUUACAUAUAUGCACACACAUAUAUAUAUAAUUUCUUCCGUCUUCCGUUGUUUGCGAUUUGCCGUGUAUCGCUGUGCGCGUCUCGCAUGGGCAUGGCAGUGCGGCAAGAGUUGGGUGAGGGUGACGAGCCUGUGUUCGCUGUCCGGUGGAAGCGCGAUGCCUGGUAUCCUGGUCAGGGUUCCUGUCAGCUGCCAUUCUAGUUGAGAAGCGGCCCUAGUUACAUGCUGGGCCCUUCUCUCUCCCGCUUCCACCAGUGGCCGUGCCUCGAGAGAGCGUCCCCCUAUCCGUCCGACCCGACCCCCACCCCUUCCCCUCUCAUGGCCUCACCCGGUGAGACAGGAAGGCUGUGAGGGCACGGAUGGCGCCGCGCUCUCGUGCACACACAAGCAAGGACGUAUACAGGGAUUCACUCUACUAAAUAAUGUGCUCUAUUUCUGCCGGUGUAGCCCUCGUUGUAAGCGGCCCGGCCGCACCUACACACAUGCACACGCACAUGCUUCAGGAGGUGAGACCGCCCUCCGCGUCUCUCCUCCUUUCCGACGUGGCAUCGUUCUACACGAGCCGAUGCUUUAAAGUACGAAGCCAGCGAGCCAGGCAGGAUAGAAACAACGCCCGACCUCCUGCCCCCUCCCCUCCCCAUCCCUCGCUCGCUUACAAGCGUCGGCGCAGCAGAGAUGACAGUUGAAGGGUGCGUGCAUGUGUAUGUUUAUGACUGGCACCUCCUCCUCUUGACAGCGUGCCUUACGCUAUCCUGUGGGGUGUAGUGGGGGUGUUCGACGGCUGCCCUCUCUCUGUCUCUCAUGACGAUGCCAGAGCAAGCAAGCAACGAAACGCGCAUCCCCUC
Molecule: unclassified non-coding RNA, 3649 nt
Filed under: Leishmania donovani
Lineage: Eukaryota; Euglenozoa; Kinetoplastea; Trypanosomatida; Trypanosomatidae
Description: gene:LdHU3.09.0970(CDS-product:oligopeptidase_b)
Source: RNAcentral